Molecule: ribosomal RNA, 499 nt
Filed under: uncultured bacterium
Lineage: Bacteria
Description: partial 16S ribosomal RNA
Rfam family: Bacterial small subunit ribosomal RNA
Source: RNAcentral
ACUCAAAGGAAUAGACGGGGGCCCGCACAAGCGGUGGAGCAUGUGGUUUAAUUCGAUGCAACGCGAAGAACCUUACCUACUCUUGACAUCCAGAGAAUCCUGCAGAGAUGCGGGAGUGCCGAAAGGAAUUCUGAGACAGGUGCUGCAUGGCUGUCGUCAGCUCGUGUUGUGAGAUGUUGGGUUAAGUCCCGUAACGAGCGCAACCCUUAUCCUUAGUUGCCAACAUGUAAUGGUGGGGACUCUAAGGAGACUGCUGGUGAUGAACCGGAGGAAGGCGGGGACGACGUCAAGUCAUCAUGGCCUUUAUGAGUAGGGCUACACACGUGCUACAAUGGGAUAGACAGAGGGAAGCCAAACUGCGAAGUGGAGCCGAUCUCACAAACUAUCUCUCAGUCCGGAUUGGAGUCUGCAACUCGACUCCAUGAAGUUGGAAUCGCUAGUAAUCGCGAAUCAGAAUGUCGCGGUGAAUACGUUCCCGGGCCUUGUACACACCGCCCGU